RNAcentral lists this ribosomal RNA (292 nucleotides) under uncultured bacterium. RNAcentral's name for it is "partial 16S ribosomal RNA". It matches the Rfam family "Bacterial small subunit ribosomal RNA", at positions 505 to 796 of the family's 1533-position model. The record is from RNAcentral.
GUGCCAGCCGCCGCGGUAAUACGGAGGAGGCAAGCGUUAUCCGGAAUUAUUGGGCGUAAAGCGUCCGUAGGUGGAUAUUCGUGUCAGUUGUUAAAGGAUGCGGCUUAACCGCAUAAAGGCGAUUGAAACUGGAUGUCUAGAGUGCGAUAGGGGCAAGGGGAAUUCCCAGUGUAGCGGUGAAAUGCGUAGAUAUUGGGAAGAACACCGGUGGCGAAAGCGCCUUGCUGGGUCUGCACUGACACUGAGGGACGAAAGCUAGGGGAGCGAAAGGGAUUAGAUACCCUCGUAGUCC